RNAcentral lists this ribosomal RNA (449 nucleotides) under uncultured marine microorganism. RNAcentral describes it as "bacterial SSU rRNA". It matches the Rfam family "Bacterial small subunit ribosomal RNA", at positions 365 to 829 of the family's 1533-position model. The record is from RNAcentral.
UCCGCAAUGGGCGAAAGCCUGACGGAGCAAUACCGCGUGAGGGAGGAAUGCUUUUGGGUUGUAAACCUCUUUUCUCAGGGAAGAAGAUCUGACGGUACCUGAGGAAUAAGUAUCGGCUAACUCCGUGCCAGCAGCCGCGGUAAUACGGAGGAUGCAAGCGUUAUCCGGAAUCAUUGGGCGUAAAGCGUCCGCAGGUGGUUUCCAAAGUCUGCUGUUAAAGACUGGAGCUCAACUCCGGAACGGCGGUGGAAACUUGGAAACUAGAGUUCGGUAGGGGUAGCAGGAAUUCCCAGUGUAGCGGUGAAAUGCGUAGAUAUUGGGAAGAACAUCGGUGGCGAAGGCGUGCUACUGGACCGUAACUGACACUCAGGGACGAAAGCUAGGGGAGCGAAAGGGAUUAGAUACCCCUGUAGUCCUAGCUGUAAACGAUGGAAACUAGGUGUGGCUUA